GAUGAACGCUGGCGGCGUGCUUAACACAUGCAAGUCGAACGGAAAGGCCCAAGCUUGCUUGGGUACUCGAGUGGCGAACGGGUGAGUAACACGUGGGUGAUCUGCCCUGCACCUCGGGAUAAGCCUGGGAAACUGGGUCUAAUACCGGAUAGGACCACUUCUUGGAUGUUGUGGUGGAAAGUUUUUUCGGUGUGGGAUGAGCUCGCGGCCUAUCAGCUUGUUGGUGGGGUAAUGGCAUACCAAGGCGUCGCCGGGUAGCCGGCCUGAGAGGGUGUACGGCGACAUUGGGACUGAGAGACGGCCCAGACUCGGAAGGGAGGCAGAAGGGGGGAAUAUUGCACAAGGGGCGCAAGCCUGAUGCAGCGAGGCCGCGUGGGGGAUGACGGCCUUCGGGUUGUAAACUCCAUUCGCUAGGGACGAAGCGUUUUGUGACGGUACCUGGAGAAGAAGCACCGGCUAACUACGUG
This 467-nucleotide ribosomal RNA is filed under the name uncultured bacterium. Its description in RNAcentral is "partial 16S ribosomal RNA". It matches the Rfam family "Bacterial small subunit ribosomal RNA", at positions 28 to 507 of the family's 1533-position model. The record is from RNAcentral.